GUUGCUUUGCAUUGCCUUGGCCCAGCCCAAGGCAGCAGCCACAUAAGAAUCAACAAGGAGGAGAAAGGAAGGAGUCGACAGCGUUCGCUGGAGGCGGCGGCGAGUAGGGAUUCAUUAAUUCAUCAUGGCGUCUGUGGAGGAGUUGGAGGAGGAGGAGGAUGAGUUGGAGGGCUUGGAGCCUUUCUUCUACGACCGGGAGACCUGGGAUGCCUGGGCGGAGGAGGAGACGGAGAGGCGUUGGCGGGAGGAAGAAGAGACGGCGCGGAAGACGGAGGAGAACCGGCGGAGN
This 289-nucleotide long non-coding RNA is filed under the name Hordeum vulgare. Its description in RNAcentral is "long non-coding RNA (HVUL_LNC000298)". The record is from RNAcentral. Lineage: Eukaryota; Viridiplantae; Streptophyta; Magnoliopsida; Poales; Poaceae.